Brassica rapa (field mustard) is the source of this 1813-nucleotide long non-coding RNA. RefSeq lists it as uncharacterized. The record is from RefSeq and is a predicted model, not a curated record. Lineage: Eukaryota; Viridiplantae; Streptophyta; Magnoliopsida; Brassicales; Brassicaceae.
CCAAGGCUAGUGUUUUCAAGCAAAUGCCUAGUACCACAAAACACAAUCAAAAGCCCAGGAAACUCAAGUAAAGAACUUUCAUGUUUGGAUGGCCCACCAGCCCAAGAAAAUGAAUCGGUGACAGUUUAGGAAAUUGGAGAAAGUUGGGUCGAUGCUUACGAAGGAGGUGAUCGAGAUGGAGUUGUUUCAAACCAACGCUGUAUCAUCUGUGAGGAGAGGGUAGGAUUUGAUUCCCUAAAUGUUUGGAUCUUGUUUCUAAUCUGACGGUCAAGCAAAGAGAAGAUGGAAUCAACAGACCUGAAGGUGUUGUUAUGGUGACGGUCGUUGCGUUCCUUCCAUAACCAGUACACAGUUGCUUGCCAGGAGAGGAGCGUAAGAAGACGGUCAGCUUUCCGCAGAGGAAGCGUCUCCAUUUGGGCGAUCGUUUGACUCCAAGACCUCAUGGGGGUGAUUCGACAUCGCGUUGUUACCAUUGUCCAGAGAGCGAAGCCGUAUGAGCAGUCAAAGUAUAGGUGAUCUCUUGAUUCAGGAGCCAAGUUGCAGAGGAGACAGGUAGGAUCUACUUGAAGCCCCCAUUGGAUCAUUCUGUCUCUAGUUGGACACCGAUCUAGAGUCACCAACCACAAGUGGAAAGAGUGUCUCGGGAUAGCACGCGGGAUCCAAAUUGCUUUAGUCCAAGAUGGUUCUGAAAUUGUACCUCGCAAAGUUCAAGCAUUGCUUCUGUCCUAGCCGGCGGUAGUCUCCAAUUCUCCUCUCGUCUCAGUGAAGCAAUGGUUGCAUUCAGCGGAAUUCCUAGACAGCCACCAGGAAAAACAUGCGACAUGGUUAUGGAGCUUGUAGGUGCCCAAUUAUCUAGCCAAAAACGAGCCGACCUUCCAUUUUCAACCCUCAUCUUGAUUAAGGGAGAUCCUUUAAGUACCACUUCCUUGAACCAAGCUGCCCAUACGGAAUCCUCUCUGAAGAAGAUUAUACAAAUAAGUCGCAUUGAGCAAGCCUUAUUCCACACAUGAUUUAGGUAGAAUAAAAGCCGAACACCAAAAAGUUGUGAUCCCCGCGAUCACCGUCUUGAUUAGGAGAAGCCGUCCCGCAAAAGACAGAGUUUUAACCGACCAAGAGGAGAGGCGAGAUUUGACUUGCUGGAGUAGAGGUUCACAGUUCACUAUAGACAGCUUUCUUGAGUUCAGAGGGACUCCUAGAUAACGGAAAGGAAGGGAGCCGUGCUGCAUACCAGUAGACGCUUGAAUAGUACUUAGUUCCUGUUCUGUUAAGCCCGAGGCAUAGAAGCUUGUCUUCUGGAAGCUAACCGCAAGGCCUGAUCUCAACUCAAAUUCUUUUAGUACCUGGAGUACAUUCUGGACAGAGCUAAGGGAUCCAUCAAUGAAGAUCAGGAGAUCAUCAGCGAAGGAGAGAUGGGCUUUGAUCCAAGAGAUGAAUUUUUGAGGUACUUGAAGACCUUCCAAACAGGAGAGGAGGAAUUCCCAAGACAGUGUGUCGAACGCCUUUGCAAUGUCAACCUUAAUGGUAAUCCUCUUUGACCCCGUAUGCUUGUGAUACCCAUGUAUUAAUUCACUCGCCAGUGUAGUAUUCUCGACCAGCAUCUGAAGUAAUGGGUUUGGAUUGGAAUCAUUUCUCAUACUAAUAUGCACAACACAAUCAAAGACUGAUAAUCAGUAUCUCUAAGUUCUCAAUUAAACAUAAUUUCAAUUCCUGGCUAGAAAAAUAUUACAUAUCUACAAGCACAUCAGAAUUCUUGGUUAAUUGAAUUCUUCCAAUAAAUAAUAUGUAUAUAUAGUUCAUUUUCUUAGCAAAGCUU